RNAcentral lists this ribosomal RNA (253 nucleotides) under uncultured bacterium. Its description in RNAcentral is "partial 16S ribosomal RNA". It matches the Rfam family "Bacterial small subunit ribosomal RNA", at positions 524 to 776 of the family's 1533-position model. The record is from RNAcentral.
UACAGAGGUCCCAAGCGUUGUUCGGAUUCACUGGGCGUAAAGGGUGCGUAGGUGGCGAGGUAAGUCGGAUGUGAAAGCUCGGAGCUCAACUCCGAAAUGGCAUUGGAAACUACCUUGCUCGAGGGUUGGAGGGGGGACUGGAAUUCUUGGUGUAGCAGUGAAAUGCGUAGAUAUCAAGAGGAACACCAGUGGCGAAGGCGGUUCUCUGGGCCUUACCUGACGCUGAGGAGCGAAAGCGUGGGGAGCGAACAGG